Triticum aestivum (bread wheat) is the source of this 755-nucleotide long non-coding RNA. RefSeq lists it as uncharacterized. The record is from RefSeq and is a predicted model, not a curated record. The transcript is spliced from 3 exons. Lineage: Eukaryota; Viridiplantae; Streptophyta; Magnoliopsida; Poales; Poaceae.
AUUGAAGCCAAUCCGAUCCAGGUGAAACAGAAGUUGAUAGAUUAUUCCGGAGACGAGGUGAUAUAUAUAUCAAGCGGAAGUCUGUUUGUGUGACUCUGCCUGUAUGUUGUCAAGUUGCAAAUAGCCUGGUUUUAUCAGUUGUUGCUUGAUGAGAGACCAACCAGUUUAUGCCUGACAUUUGUGACUCUACAUUUAAUGCAGUACAAUUGAGAGCUCACGGCAUCAGGUUCAAACCGAUGUUGUGGCCAACACAGAUAGUAGCAGUCAAGACAAUGACUUUUUGGACGAAGAAGAGUGACUUCAUUCAAGGAAAUGAGUUCCAAUAUUGGUGUGACGAGUCCCUUGACUGAAGAAGGAGGAGGAGGACGUCAAGGGAGGCAUGAGCCGGCGGUGGCAGCAUGAGCCAUCACGAGGCAUCGCUGGGAGGCUCCGGGCGGGGGGCAUGAGAGGUGUGACACAAGUCAGGAGGCGAACUAGAGAAGAUGAGUAGAUCGAGAUGGAUCAUACAAGGAUGAAGGGAUGUUAUAGAGCCGUUAGCCGACGGUGCUAAUUUCCUGUGUGUGUCGAUGUCGGUUGCCAUGCAGUAAAUGAAGAGUGCGUGUAUGCCUGUGGCACCCUCCAUUUUCAUAUUUGGAGUCCACACAGGCUGGGUGGCCGAGGGGAAGAGUGAGCGAUUUUUUUGUUCCGCUUUCUUUGCCUGAGUAGGUGUCUGUGAGGACUCCUCCCCCCUUGGUGAUUUUGGUGAUGGUGGUGAG